Molecule: ribosomal RNA, 768 nt
Filed under: Streptococcus oralis subsp. tigurinus
Lineage: Bacteria; Bacillati; Bacillota; Bacilli; Lactobacillales; Streptococcaceae
Description: bacterial SSU rRNA
Rfam family: Bacterial small subunit ribosomal RNA
Source: RNAcentral
UGGCGGCGUGCCUAAUACAUGCAAGUAGAACGCUGAAGAGAGGAGCUUGCUCUUCUUGGAUGAGUUGCGAACGGGUGAGUAACGCGUAGGUAACCUGCCUGGUAGCGGGGGAUAACUAUUGGAAACGAUAGCUAAUACCGCAUAAAAUGGAUUAUCGCAUGAUAAUCCAUUGAAAGGUGCAAAUGCAUCACUACCAGAUGGACCUGCGUUGUAUUAGCUAGUUGGUGGGGUAACGGCUCACCAAGGCGACGAUACAUAGCCGACCUGAGAGGGUGAUCGGCCACACUGGGACUGAGACACGGCCCAGACUCCUACGGGAGGCAGCAGUAGGGAAUCUUCGGCAAUGGACGGAAGUCUGACCGAGCAACGCCGCGUGAGUGAAGAAGGUUUUCGGAUCGUAAAGCUCUGUUGUAAGAGAAGAACGAGUGUGAGAGUGGAAAGUUCACACUGUGACGGUAUCUUACCAGAAAGGGACGGCUAACUACGUGCCAGCAGCCGCGGUAAUACGUAGGUCCCGAGCGUUGUCCGGAUUUAUUGGGCGUAAAGCGAGCGCAGGCGGUUAGAUAAGUCUGAAGUUAAAGGCUGUGGCUUAACCAUAGUACGCUUUGGAAACUGUUUAACUUGAGUGCAAGAGGGGAGAGUGGAAUUCCAUGUGUAGCGGUGAAAUGCGUAGAUAUAUGGAGGAACACCGGUGGCGAAAGCGGCUCUCUGGCUUGUAACUGACGCUGAGGCUCGAAAGCGUGGGGAGCAAACAGGAUUAGAUACCCU